This 1194-nucleotide ribosomal RNA is filed under the name Kocuria rhizophila. Its description in RNAcentral is "partial 16S ribosomal RNA". Lineage: Bacteria; Bacillati; Actinomycetota; Actinomycetes; Micrococcales; Micrococcaceae. The record is from RNAcentral.
AANCACAUUCGACGGCUCCCCCACAAGGGUUAGGCCACCGGCUUCGGGUGUUACCAACUUUCGUGACUUGACGGGCGGUGUGUACAAGGCCCGGGAACGUAUUCACCGCAGCGUUGCUGAUCUGCGAUUACUAGCGACUCCGACUUCACGUGGUCGAGUUGCAGACCACGAUCCGAACUGAGACCAGCUUUUUGGGAUUAGCUCCACCUCGCGGCAUCGCAACCCAUUGUACUGGCCAUUGUAGCAUGCGUGAAGCCCAAGACAUAAGGGGCAUGAUGAUUUGACGUCAUCCCCACCUUCCUCCGAGUUGACCCCGGCAGUCUCCUAUGAGUCCCCACCAUCACGUGCUGGCAACAUAGAACGAGGGUUGCGCUCGUUGCGGGACUUAACCCAACAUCUCACGACACGAGCUGACGACAACCAUGCACCACCUGUACACCAGCCCCACAAGGGGGAAAGACCAUCUCUGGCCCGGUCCGGUGUAUGUCAAGCCUUGGUAAGGUUCUUCGCGUUGCAUCGAAUUAAUCCGCAUGCUCCGCCGCUUGUGCGGGCCCCCGUCAAUUCCUUUGAGUUUUAGCCUUGCGGCCGUACUCCCCAGGCGGGGCACUUAAUGCGUUAGCUACGGCGCGGAAAACGUGGAAUGUUCCCCACACCUAGUGCCCAACGUUUACGGCAUGGACUACCAGGGUAUCUAAUCCUGUUCGCUCCCCAUGCUUUCGCUCCUCAGCGUCAGUAACAGCCCAGAGACCUGCCUUCGCCAUCGGUGUUCCUCCUGAUAUCUGCGCAUUUCACCGCUACACCAGGAAUUCCAGUCUCCCCUACUGCACUCAAGUCUGCCCGUACCCACUGCACACCCGGGGUUAAGCCCCGGGCUUUCACAGCAGACGCGACAAACCGCCUACGAGCUCUUUACGCCCAAUAAUUCCGGACAACGCUUGCGCCCUACGUAUUACCGCGGCUGCUGGCACGUAGUUAGCCGGCGCUUCUUCUGCACGUACCGUCACUUUCGCUUCUUCCGUGCUGAAAGAGGUUUACAACCCGAAGGCCGUCAUCCCUCAAGCGGGGUCGCUGCAUCAGGCUUUCGCCCAUUGUGCAAUAUUCCCCACUGCUGCCUCCCGUAGGAAUCUGGGCCGUGUCUCAGUCCCAGUGUGGCCGGUCACCCUCUAAGGCGGGUACCCGUCGUCCCCUUGGUGA